CAGAGGUCCCAAGCGUUGUUCGGAUUCACUGGGCGUAAAGGGUGCGCAGGUGGUGGGGUAAGUCGGAUGUGAAAUCUCCGAGCUCAACUCGGAAAUGGCAUUGGAAACUACCCUGCUAGAGGGUCGGAGGGGGGACUGGAAUGCUUGGUGUAGCAGUGAAAUGCGUAGAUAUCAAGCGGAACACCAGUGGCGAAGGCGAGUCCCUGGACGACUCCUGACACUGAGGCACGAAAGCUAGGGGAGCAAACAGGAUUAGAUACCCUGGUAGUCCUAGCCGUAAACGGUGCACGUUUGCUGUAAAAGGAAUCGACCCCUUUUGUGGCGUAGCCAACGCGUUAAACGUGCCGCCUGGGAGGUACGGUCGCAAGAUUA
Molecule: ribosomal RNA, 372 nt
Filed under: uncultured organism
Description: bacterial SSU rRNA
Rfam family: Bacterial small subunit ribosomal RNA
Source: RNAcentral